Molecule: long non-coding RNA, 338 nt
Filed under: Pogona vitticeps (central bearded dragon)
Lineage: Eukaryota; Metazoa; Chordata; Lepidosauria; Squamata; Agamidae
Description: lncRNA (ENSPVIG00000014566.1)
Source: RNAcentral
CUCAAGGGGCCUCUAUGUGGCAGCUCUGAGCUAUUAAGCCUCAGCCACCCUUAGGGGAACUAUGCAAUGGAGCAGGGCAGAAAGUGCCACUAACUUCAGGAAACUCUUGCUUUCUGACGUCCUGUUCGGAAGUUCUUCCAGUCCUCCAGAGCAGCCAUUCUCAAUGGGGGCCACAUGGUCCCAUGGAGGCCCCUGGCACAUUUGAAGGGGGCCACAGACUGGAAUCAGUUCUUCACAUACCACCUUAAAAGGUUUGUUAUGAGAUUUAUUCAAUCCUGAUUCCGCCUAUACAUAUUUAUGGCCAUGACCAAUAAAAGUUCAUAAUCUGCUCGGGAACA